UACGGAGGGGGCCAGCGUUGCUAGGCAUUAUUGUGCGUAAAGUGCGCGUAGGCGGCCGGGUAAGUCUGAUGAGAAAUCCCAUGGCUUAACCAUGGAAUUGCAUCUUAUACUGCCCGGCUAGAGUCUGGGAGAGGGAAGUGGAAUUCCCGGUGUAGCGGUGAAAUGAGUAGAUAUCGGGAGGAACACCAGUGGCGAAGGCGGCUUCCUGGACCAGUACUGACGCUGAGGCGCGAAAGCUAGGGGACCAAACAGG
Molecule: ribosomal RNA, 253 nt
Filed under: uncultured bacterium
Lineage: Bacteria
Description: partial 16S ribosomal RNA
Rfam family: Bacterial small subunit ribosomal RNA
Source: RNAcentral